Molecule: transfer RNA, 70 nt
Filed under: Mycoplasmopsis felis
Lineage: Bacteria; Bacillati; Mycoplasmatota; Mycoplasmoidales; Metamycoplasmataceae
Also listed under: 1 other name
Description: tRNA-OTHER
Rfam family: tRNA
About the family: Transfer RNA (tRNA) molecules are approximately 80 nucleotides in length. Their secondary structure includes four short double-helical elements and three loops (D, anti-codon, and T loops).
Source: RNAcentral
CGCCCCAUACCAAGCGGUAAGCGUCGGGUUUUGGUUCCGACACGCGUUAGUUCGAAUCUAACUGGGGCGU